AAUAGAUACCCGGGUAGUCCACGCCGUAAACGAUGUCGACUUGGAGGUUGUUCCCUUGAGGAGUGGCUUCCGGAGCUAACGCGUUAAGUCGACCGUCUGGGGAGUACGGCCGCAAGGUUAAAACUCAAAAUGAAUUGACGGGGGCCCGCACAAGCGGUGGAGCAUGUGGUUUAAUUCGAUGCAACGCGAAGAACCUUACCUACUCUUGACAUCCAGAGAACUUAGCAGAGAUGCUUUGGUGCCUUCGGGAACUCUGAGACAGGUGCUGCAUGGCUGUCGUCAGCUCGUGUCGUGAAAUGUUGGGUUAAGUCCCGCAACGAGCGCAACCCUUAUCCUUUGUUGCCAGCGGUUCGGCCGGGAACUCAAAGGAGACUGCCAGUGAUAAACUGGAGGAAGGUGGGGAUGACGUCAAGUCAUCAUGGCCCUUACGAGUAGGGCUACACACGUGCUACAAUGGCGUAUACAAAGAGAAGCGACCUCGCGAGAGCAAGCGGACCUCAUAAAGUACGUCGUAGUCCGGAUUGGAGU
This 528-nucleotide ribosomal RNA is filed under the name uncultured bacterium. Its description in RNAcentral is "bacterial SSU rRNA". It matches the Rfam family "Bacterial small subunit ribosomal RNA", at positions 777 to 1304 of the family's 1533-position model. The record is from RNAcentral.